Molecule: long non-coding RNA, 1128 nt
Organism: Heterocephalus glaber (naked mole-rat)
Lineage: Eukaryota; Metazoa; Chordata; Mammalia; Rodentia; Bathyergidae
Source: Ensembl
AGAGGGGCACCAGGGCUCUGGGAAGGCUCUCUGCUCUCUCUCCCUGGUGCUGUUUUCCUUCACAUCUCAUCUGUAUUCCCUCCACUCAGCUCUCCACAGCAGAGGAGGCUCUGCAAGACAGGGUGCCCGGGUGUGUGAUCUGUGAGCUCCAAUGUGGGCAAAUGGAUGGCACUGUACGUACUUGAGGGGCAGGAAGAGCACUCAGAGGAGCCCUGCUUAGGCACCCCAGGUGGAGGACAUGAAGAAGACCCAGCAGACAUGAGUGAAAACAGCUGCCUGCACAAGUUGUCCCCUAACAGGUACAGCCAAGAGUCAGAAGCACAGAGGGAGCUGGGGAAGCGACAUUUCUUACAGAGCCCACUGCUGUCCCUGUGUGAAGUGGCUCAUAUCAGCUCUCGAUUCUAUGCCGGUGUUCUGGAUUUCCUCUUGAGAUGUGCAUUUGUAUCAGCCAUCCUGUCCCCUGUGCCUCUGACGAGCUCCCUUCUGGAUGGCCUGCUGUCAUGCUGAGAUGACCCUUCACUAACAUCUGAGAAGUCCCUUUGCUGUUCUACGGUGUGGAAAACUUGUUUCCUCCAUCUCAUGUCUUCUUCCUUGCUUAAUUCCUUUGUUUAAUGAAACAAAUUAAUUCCUUUGUUAAUGAAACUUCCCAAUAGUUUCCUAAGAAAAGUGUGUAAGUGGUCAACUAUUUGCAACCUAAUAUGUCUGAAAAUUCUACAUAUACUUUUAACAUGUAGUUUGAUUGGGUAGAUGAGUCCAGUGUGGAAAUAUUUUUUCAAAAAUUAGAAGCUAUUGCACUAUUGUCUUGUAGUAUGGUGUGUUGCUUUUGAGAAGUUGUAAGCCAUUUUUUUUUAAUCCUUUGUGUGUUUAUAUCUUUUCUUCUGUUUUUGCACCUCACAACCUUUUAUUUAUUUUUUCUCAUCAAUGCAAUAAACUUUCAUGAUGACAGGGCUUGUGUGGGUCAUGCUGUUCAAUUCUGGGAAAUUUCCUUGACUGACUUUAUUGGUGAUUUCCUCCUCUCCAAUUUUUCCAUUCUCCCUCUUUGGAACUUUUUAUUAUUUGGGUGAAACAUAAUUAUUGGUCUGUAGUGGUCUUCUAAUUGUCUUUUCUCUUUUAUUUUCCAUCUGUGUC